GCUUACACAUGCAAGUCGAGGGGUAGGGGCCUUCGGGCCUUGAGACCGGCGCACGGGUGCGUAACGCGUAUGCAAUCUGCCUUCCACAGAGGGAUAGCCCAGAGAAAUUUGGAUUAAUACCUCAUAGCAUCAUGACCCGGCAUCGGGAUAUGAUUAAAGUCACAACGGUGGAAGAUGAGCAUGCGUCCCAUUAGCUAGUUGGUAAGGUAACGGCUUACCAAGGCUACGAUGGGUAGGGGUCCUGAGAGGGAGAUCCCCCACACUGGUACUGAGACACGGACCAGACUCCUACGGGAGGCAGCAGUGAGGAAUAUUGGUCAAUGGGCGCAAGCCUGAACCAGCCAUGCCGCGUGCAGGAUGACGGUCCUAUGGAUUGUAAACUGCUUUUGUACGGGAAGAAACCCUCCUACGUGUAGGAGCUUGACGGUACCGUAAGAAUAAGGAUCGGCUAACUCCGUGCCAGCAGCCGCGGUAAUACGGAGGAUCCAAGCGUUAUCCGGAAUCAUUGGGUUUAAAGGGUCUGUAGGCGGUCUUGUAAGUCAGUGGUGAAAGCCCAUCGCUCAACGGUGGAACGGCCAUUGAUACUGCUGGACUUGAAUUAUUGGGAAGCAACUAGAAUAUGUAGUGUAGCGGUGAAAUGCUUAGAGAUUACAUGGAAUACCAAUUGCGAAGGCAGGUUGCUACCAAUGGAUUGACGCUGAUGGACGAAAGCGUGCGUAGCGAACAGGAUUAGAUACCCUGGUAGUCCACGCCGUAAACGAUGGAUACUAGCUGUUGCGCGCAAGUUCAGUGGCUAAGCGAAAGUGAUAAGUAUCCCACCUGGGGAGUACGAACGCAAGUUUGAAACUCAAAGGAAUUGACGGGGGCCCGCACAAGCGGUGGAGCAUGUGGUUUAAUUCGAUGAUACGCGAGGAACCUUACCAAGGCUUAAAUGCAGACUGACCGGUUUGGAAACAGACCUUUCGCAAGACGGUCUACAGGUGCUGCAUGGUUGUCGUCAGCUCGUGCCGUGAGGUGUCAGGUUAAGUCCUAUAACGAGCGCAACCCCUGUUGUUAGUUGCCAGCGAGUCAUGUCGGGAACUCUAGCAAGACUGCCAGUGCAACUGUGAGGAAGGUGGGGAUGACGUCAAUCAUCACGGCCCUUACGCCUGGGCUAAAACCUGCUACAUGGCCGGUACAGAAACACCCCCCCGCGGGGGGAACAAAUCUUAAACCGGCCCAUUUCGAUCGGAAUUGCACCCCCUCCCGGAACUGGAUCCCUGUAUCGGAUA
RNAcentral lists this ribosomal RNA (1271 nucleotides) under Flavobacterium anhuiense. RNAcentral describes it as "bacterial SSU rRNA". It matches the Rfam family "Bacterial small subunit ribosomal RNA", at positions 46 to 1347 of the family's 1533-position model. The record is from RNAcentral. Lineage: Bacteria; Pseudomonadati; Bacteroidota; Flavobacteriia; Flavobacteriales; Flavobacteriaceae.